This 423-nucleotide ribosomal RNA is filed under the name uncultured bacterium. RNAcentral describes it as "bacterial SSU rRNA". It matches the Rfam family "Bacterial small subunit ribosomal RNA", at positions 355 to 775 of the family's 1533-position model. The record is from RNAcentral.
CGAGGAAUAUUGGUCAAUGGGCGCAAGCCUGAACCAGCCAUCCCGCGUGCAGGAAGACGGCCCUAUGGGUUGUAAACUGCUUUUCCAGGGGGAGAAUUUUUCUGUCGUGACAGGAAUUGACGGUACCCUGGGAAUAAGCAUCGGCUAACUCCGUGCCAGCAGCCGCGGUAAUACGGAGGAUGCGAGCGUUAUCCGGAUUUAUUGGGUUUAAAGGGUGCGUAGGCGGAUUGAUAAGUCAGUGGUGAAAACCUGCAGCUUAACUGUAGACUUGCCGUUGAUACUGUCAGUCUUGAGUGUGGUCAAGGUAGGCGGAAUGUGUAAUGUAGCGGUGAAAUGCUUAGAUACUACACAGAACACCGAUUGCGAAGGCCGCUUACUGGGCCAUUACUGACGCUGAUGCACGAAAGCGUGGGGAUCGAACAG